Long non-coding RNA from Gallus gallus (chicken), 2553 nucleotides. RefSeq lists it as uncharacterized. NCBI's taxonomy places the organism in Eukaryota, Metazoa, Chordata, Aves, Galliformes, Phasianidae. The record is from RefSeq and is a predicted model, not a curated record. The transcript has 3 exons.
CUGCCCUUCGGCCUCGGACCGUCGGAACGUCGUGCAACGGGACUGCUGCUGGAUCCUGGUGAACUGUCCUUCCCAAAGAGUACUCUGCCAUUGCAGUGAACUGGACUGAACAUCCUGAGAGAAACCUAGCAAGACUUUCUGCUGUGGAACACAGGAUUGAUACAUGCAACACUCAUCCCUCUCCUGCUACUCGAGGAAAUCCAAGGAUGUUAUCAUGUUGCACAUCAUAUCCAUCCUUGGAUCUAUUCAAGAUGUGAGCAAUUUGGUCUGCUCCCAUUGCUGACCAACUUUCAGGAGGUUGGAAAACAAAGCUCCUUAGCUAUCUUUCACUUUGAGUUAUGCCAUGAACUUCCGAAUUUUUAGGUAUGCUUUUUCAAAAUCAUUUUUCUACUUACUACAUUGCAUAACACUGCUUUGUGGUGUUGGUUGUUGUCAUUUUGUUUGUUUAUAUAUGUAUAUAACCACUGUAAUGUUUCCCACAGUGAUCAGGGAUAUAAGGAUUUCUGAUGAUAGAUGCUUCUGAGAAGCACUGUGUAGGUACUGCAAAAUUGUAAGAGCUUGUACAAUGUUUCUCUGUACUAAAAUCUGUAUAAUUUUAAAAUGAAAAUACAGCUGACAAUUUGGAGAGUAGAAUUUAAUAGGUUAACUUUUCUUUCUUUUCAGUUCAACAAGAUUGUUGCAUAAAAGCAUUCAGUAAACCCCUUGCUGUCUUUCGCUCAAUAUAUUUCCAUUUACUUUUAGGAUUAAAAAAGUGUUUUGUCUUCCCCUAUGCUGUUCAUGCUGCUGAAAAAUAGAAAAACAGACACACCUGUAUUACUGAAUUAACUAGGUCAGAAGGUUUGAUUCACAAACCACGUAAUGUGAAGCAAUCUUUCUGUCAUAUUAUUUAUUCUGAAAUAGAGAAUUUGAAAGUCUGGACCAUGAACUGGGCUUUGUACAUUUAACCCUGAUGUUCAUAAUCCUGCUUUUCGCUGCAGUAUUGUAACAAUUCUCUCAGCAUAGGAGAGAUUCUGUCACAUUUACCAACAACAGUGCAACCGUACCUGGGAAAAAUCAGAGCUCCAAAUGAGAUGGCAGAAUCUGACCCAAGAAAAAUUAAAUGUUUUACCGUAAAUUCAUGAAGACAUUACAAAAAUUGUGGGCGCCUCAAGUGAGCAAACUUUUUCUGCGCAGCUUCAAAGGAACUGUAAAAGUAAUAGCUACCAGAUUUUCUCCAGCCCCCUCAGGAGCACAGUUUCCACAGUAAAGAUAAUGCAGUCUCUAGCUAUAUUACCCAGCUACUUGCUGAGGUAGCAUUUAUCCAAACAGGUCCAUAACUUAUAGCCAUUCCCCUCUGUCAUCCAUCUUUAAGCUAUACGUUACCUGCUGCAAAUCAGCUCCCUACCACCAAGACGCACUGCUUUCCCUUCAGCACAGAAGGUGAUGCUACACAUUGAGAAACUGUGUUUUCUGUGACAGCCAGAUACUGUUGUUCUGGAAGAAGCCCACAGAACAUAGUUACUGUUUAAUUAGCACAGCUGCUUUUAGCUUCGCAUGAGGUGUUUCCAUGAACUACUGUCUUCUGUCUAUCUGCAUUUGUAUUUUUAGCACUUCAGUGAUUUAUUUAGUACCACUCCAAAAUGUUGGAGUUCUGGUGGUGCACUAACAGGGGGAACACAACUAUUGGGACAACUUGUAAAAAGCAGACAAGACGGCUUCAUGUUGGCAUUAAGGAUCUUCUGGAUUAGCUCCACUGGAAGAGCUUAAAGUUAUGUAGGUUGUUCCAAAAGUAAUGCCAUCUAUUCCCUGGAAACUACAACGGAUACAAGGAAAACAAUAACAGUAUUUGAUAGAGCAGAUUCUCAGCUACAAAACUCGUUUUCAACAUAGUCACAACCAUUAGCUGUGCAUCUUUGGCAGCAAUGAACUCGAUCUAACAUGCCCUGCUUGUAACAAUCUGCACUGGUGGAGGUGACCAACUGUUGCUUUUGCCACUGCUGAAACACACCACUCACCCAUCACUGUGCUCACAUCCACGGUUUGGUCUCCACAGACAUUCAGCAAGUGUUGAUGAAUGCCAAUGUGUGACAUUUUUUUCUGCAUGGAGGAAUUCAGUACUACACCUUUGCUUCAUAUGCACUUCCAUGACAGACAACAUUCUGUCAGAUUGCCCCUUUGCUGCCAUCUGUCGUACGGCAAAUAAAUGCAAUGAGAUAUCAUCACGAAGGUUAAACCUCCGCUGCCAUACUACCAACAUCUACCUCUGAUGGUGUGGGUCAACAUCAUAAAAAAGGAGGCAUUACUUUUGGAGCAGCCUUCAUCUUUCUCCAGCACAGAAAUGCUGAAGGCAUCGAACAAAGGAAAUAGGCAUUGCCAUCCAUGUUUAUUAUUGUUCUCAGAUUAUUUUGCACAAAACAGACUAAUUAUGGAAGCUUAAAGAGUCAUUAAUGUUUACUUUUCCUUAGUGACAGGUUUCUUUAUGGAUUCUUACAGUAACAAUAUUUCAGAAUAUGGCAAAGUUCUGUAAACUUACAGAAAUAUUGCAAAAAUCAAAUGAAACUUUUCUUCUUUCCU